RNAcentral lists this ribosomal RNA (508 nucleotides) under uncultured bacterium. Its description in RNAcentral is "bacterial SSU rRNA". It matches the Rfam family "Bacterial small subunit ribosomal RNA", at positions 777 to 1286 of the family's 1533-position model. The record is from RNAcentral.
AAUAGAUACCCGGGUAGUCCACGCCGUAAACGAUGGAUGCUAGCCGUUGGAUAGCUUGCUAUUCGGUGGCGCAGCUAACGCAUUAAGCAUCCCGCCUGGGGAGUACGGCCGCAAGGUUAAAACUCAAAGGAAUUGACGGGGGCCCGCACAAGCGGUGGAGCAUGUGGUUUAAUUCGACGCAACGCGAAGAACCUUACCAGCUCUUGACAUUCACUGAUUGCCGGCAGAGAUGCCGGAGUUCCAGCAAUGGACAGUGGGACAGGUGCUGCAUGGCUGUCGUCAGCUCGCGUCGUGAGAUGUUGGGUUAAGUCCCGCAACGAGCGCAACCCUCGCCAUUAGUUGCCAUCAUUUAGUUGGGCACGUCUAAUGGGACUGCCGGUGAUAAGCCGGAGGAAGGUGGGGAUGACGUCAAGUCACCAUGGCCCUUACGGGCUGGGCUACACACGUGCUACAAUGGCGGUGACAAUGCGCAGCCACCUAGCAAUAGGGAGCUAAUCGCAAAAGCCGU